Molecule: ribosomal RNA, 263 nt
Filed under: uncultured bacterium
Lineage: Bacteria
Description: partial 16S ribosomal RNA
Rfam family: Bacterial small subunit ribosomal RNA
Source: RNAcentral
CGUUUAGUGGCGAACGGGUGAGUAAUACAUAGGUAACCUACCCUUAAGACGAGGAUAGCCAUUGGAAACGAUGGAUAAAACUGGAUAGGAUAUAGAGGAAGAAUCUUUUAUAUUUAAAAGAGAGAUCUGCUUAAGAGGGCCUGUGGCGCAUUAGCUAGUUGGUGGGGUAAGGGCCUACCAAGGCGAUGAUGCGUAGCCGGACUGAGAGGUUGAACGGCCACAAUGGAACUGAGAACGGUCCAUACUCCUACGGGAGGCAGCAG